Molecule: ribosomal RNA, 305 nt
Filed under: uncultured Pelagophyceae
Lineage: Eukaryota; Pelagophyceae
Description: partial Bacterial large subunit ribosomal RNA
Rfam family: Bacterial large subunit ribosomal RNA
Source: RNAcentral
CGAAGCUGUGGAUACCUUUAUAGGUAUGGUAGGAGAGCGUUCUAUGUGUGGAGAAGGUAUACCGUGAGGAGUGCUGGAGCGUUAAGAAGUGAGAAUGCCGGUAUGAGUAGCGAAAGAUAGGUGAGAAUCCUAUCCGCCGAAAGACUAAGGUUUCCUGGGGCAGGCUCGUCCGCCCAGGGUAAGUCGGGACCUAAGGCAAGGCCGAGAGGCGUAGUCGAUGGAUAACAGGUAGAGAUUCCUGUACUGUGUCAAAUCGUUAAGAGCGAAGGAGGGACGCAGGAGGUGAAGCACGCAUCGCGAUGGAA